UACGAAGGGGGGCUAGCGUUGCUCGGAAUUACUGGGCGUAAAGGGCGCGUAGGCGGACAGUUAAGUCAGAGGUGAAAGCCCAGGGCUCAACCCUGGAAUUGCCUUUGAUACUGGCUGUCUUGAGUGCGGGAGAGGUGUGUGGAACUCCGAGUGUAGAGGUGAAAUUCGUAGAUAUUCGGAAGAACACCAGUGGCGAAGGCGACUCACUGGACAUGUAUUGACGCUGAGGUGCGAAAGCGUGGGGAGCAAACAGG
RNAcentral lists this ribosomal RNA (254 nucleotides) under uncultured bacterium. RNAcentral's name for it is "partial 16S ribosomal RNA". It matches the Rfam family "Bacterial small subunit ribosomal RNA", at positions 524 to 776 of the family's 1533-position model. The record is from RNAcentral.